GAGCGGCGGACGGGUGAGUAACGCGUAGGAAUCUACCUAGUAGAGGGGGACAACAUGUGGAAACGCAUGCUAAUACCGCAUACGCCUUUAGGGGGAAAGCAGGGGAUCUUAGGACCUUGCGCUAUUGGAUGAGCCCAAGUCAGAUUAGCUAGUUGGUGAGGUAAUGGCUCACCAAGGCGACGAUCUGUAGCUGGUCUGAGAGGAUGAUCAGCCACACUGGGACUGAGACACGGCCCAGACUCC
This 243-nucleotide ribosomal RNA is filed under the name uncultured bacterium. Its description in RNAcentral is "partial 16S ribosomal RNA". It matches the Rfam family "Bacterial small subunit ribosomal RNA", at positions 93 to 339 of the family's 1533-position model. The record is from RNAcentral.